RNAcentral lists this long non-coding RNA (1681 nucleotides) under Homo sapiens (human). RNAcentral describes it as "HSALNT0337979". Lineage: Eukaryota; Metazoa; Chordata; Mammalia; Primates; Hominidae. The record is from RNAcentral.
CACACCACUGCACUCCAGCCUGGGUGACAUAGCAAGACUCCAUCUCAAAAAAUAGUAAUAAUGAUUACCAAAUGCAAAUAUAAGUCCACUGAGCUAGUGCUGCAUGGAGAUCAUAAGAGUGAGCCUGGAGCCAGGCUUCUGGGGUUCAAAGCCCAGUUUUAUCCCCUGCUAUGUCAGUGAACUUGGACACUGUUCUUAGCUUCUCUGAGCUGCAGUUUUCUGAAAUUUAUGUAAUAGUAACAGCAGUCACCUUACAGGAGCAUAGUGAAGCUUUAAGGAGUCAAUGCCUAGGUUAGUCUCCUAGGGUUGUCGUAACAAAGUGCUGUUAACAGCAUGGCGUAAACAACAGAAUUGUGUUCUCCUGCAGUUCUGGAGGCUAGAAGUCUGAGGUCUAGGUGUUAGCAGGGUUGGCUUCUGAGGGUUGUGAAGGAAGGAUCUGUUCCAUUCCUCUCUCCUAGCUUCCGGUAGCCUUGGGUUGCAGAUGGCAUUCUUUCUGUCUCUUCACAUCAUCUUCCCUCUGUGCACAUCUGUCUCUGUGUGCAAAUCCCCCCGUUUUAAAAGGACACCAGUCAUUUUGGAUUAGAGUCCACCUUAAUGGCCUCAUCUCAACUAGAUUACUUCUGAAGACUUCAUAUCCAAAUAAGGUCACAUUCUGAGAUAUUUGGGGUUAGUCCAUUGCAUCUUUUUUUGUGGGGAUACAAUUCAACCCAUGACAAUGCCUAGGAGUGCCAAAAAUAUGGCACAUGGUGCAUUAACUAAAUAUGGAUAAUAAGUAUUAGGUCAAACCCUAUAGAAUAUAGAUAUUUGACUAUUUUACCUACAAAAUGGUAAUAUAACAUGAUUUAGCAUAUUUUUUCUUUGCUUUUUUUUCAACAAUCUCUGUCUGGGUGCUCAUCGUUCCUGACACAACUCGACAUUUUCUGGGCAGCCCCCGUGAGACAGGUUGUGGUGCAGGCAGGAGAAGGGUGGCUGUGCUGAUUCACUCUGCCUCUCCAGUUCUGACCAAUCUUCUAUUUCAACUCUGGGAUUCUUUCUUUAAUCUUCAUCUUCUGAAUGAUGUAGCUUUACUGUGAAACUGUCCAAGUGUAAUUAUCAGGCCUGUCAUUGGUAAGGAACCCUUCCCAAGGCUCUGGGAGAGGCCCCAGACAUGUAUUGACAUGUUAAUAUUUGAUUUUUAAAACUUUCACAAAGAAGACAUUUUAAACUUCAGUCAAUUAAGGCCACGAUGUCUUUGCACUCCAACUUCUCUUCCUUCUCCUCCUCUUGGGCUGUAUUGGAGCCGCCGUGGACAAUUUUGAGAUGACCCAAGGAGAAGAUGAGAUGGGCGUAUGUUUGCUGCAAGUGGAGUGGAAUACACUUCUGUGAUUUGCAGUCCCUUCCAUGUAUAAUGGAGUAUUGCUGGCUGUGCAAGUGGAGAAACAACUGGGAAUGCCAACUUGAGGAGCGUCUGGUGGACACCAUCUUGAAUCCAGCACUCUCUCCAUCCCCAGCCAGAAGUGUGUGUUGGUGGUGGGGGAGAGACAAGUUAGAAACAAGGGUGGACUACACGUUCCACCUCAUGCCUGUACCACAAGAGACAACAAAAUUACACAGUUCUGAAUAAGAUGAACUGUUAAGUUCCAUUGCAUCAGGGAUGUUCAAAGAAAUGGAAACAACUCCAGGCAUUUCAAGAAGGAAGGAA